This 445-nucleotide ribosomal RNA is filed under the name uncultured bacterium. Its description in RNAcentral is "bacterial SSU rRNA". It matches the Rfam family "Bacterial small subunit ribosomal RNA", at positions 338 to 795 of the family's 1533-position model. The record is from RNAcentral.
CCUACGGGUUGCAGCAGUGGGGAAUAUUGCACAAUGGGCGGAAGCCUGAUGCAGCAACGCCGCGUGCGGGAUGACGGCCUUCGGGUUGUAAACCGCUUUCGCCUGUGACGAAGCGUGAGUGACGGUAAUGGGUAAAGAAGCACCGGCUAACUACGUGCCAGCAGCCGCGGUGAUACGUAGGGUGCGAGCGUUGUCCGGAUUUAUUGGGCGUAAAGGGCUCGUAGGUGGUUGAUCGCGUCGGAAGUGUAAUCUUGGGGCUUAACCCUGAGCGUGCUUUCGAUACGGGUUGACUUGAGGAAGGUAGGGGAGAAUGGAAUUCCUGGUGGAGCGGUGGAAUGCGCAGAUAUCAGGAGGAACACCAGUGGCGAAGGCGGUUCUCUGGGCCUUUCCUGACGCUGAGGAGCGAAAGCGUGGGGAGCGAACAGGAUUAGAUACCCGAGUAGUC